AAGGAGUCUAACAUCUAUGCGAGUGUUCGGGUGUCAAACCCCUACGCGUAAUGAAAGUGAACGGAGGUGAGAACCGCAAGGUGCAUCAUCGACCGAUCCUGAUGUCUUCGGAUGGAUUUGAGUAUGAGCGUAGCUGUUGGGACCCGAAAGAUGGUGAACUAUGCCUGAAUAGGGUGAAGCCAGAGGAAAGUCUGGUGGAGGGCCGUAGCGAUUCUGACGUGCAAAUCGUUCGUCAAAUCUGGGUAUAGGGGCGAAAGACUAAUCGAACCAUCUAGUAGCUGGUUCCCUC
Molecule: unclassified non-coding RNA, 289 nt
Filed under: uncultured fungus
Lineage: Eukaryota; Fungi
Description: partial contains 5.8S rRNA, ITS2 and 28S rRNA
Rfam family: Eukaryotic large subunit ribosomal RNA
Source: RNAcentral